AUUGAACGCUGGCGGCAUGCCUUACGCAUACAAGUCGAACGGCAGCGGGGACUUCGGUCCGCCGGCGAGUGGCGAACGGGUGAGUAAUGUAUCGGAACGUACCUUUCAGUGGGGGAUAACGUAGCGAAAGUUACGCUAAUACCGCAUAUUCUCUGAGGAGGAAAGCAGGGGACCUUCGGGCCUUGCGCUGAUAGAGCGGCCGAUAUCAGAUUAGCUAGUUGGUGGGGUAAAGGCGCACCAAGGCUACGAUCUGUAGCGGGUCUGAGAGGAUGAUCCGCCACACUGGGACUGAGACACGGCCCAGACUCCUACGGGAGGCAGCAGUGGGGAAUUUUGGACAAUGGGGGCAACCCUGAUCCAGCCAUGCUGCGUGAGUGAAGAAGGCCUUCGGGUUGUAAAGCUCUUUCGGCCGGGAAGAAAUCGUGUGGGCUAAUACCCUGCAUGGAUGACGGUACCGGAAUAAGAAGCACCGGCUAACUACGUGCCAGCCGCCGCAGUAA
RNAcentral lists this ribosomal RNA (500 nucleotides) under uncultured bacterium. Its description in RNAcentral is "partial 16S ribosomal RNA". It matches the Rfam family "Bacterial small subunit ribosomal RNA", at positions 30 to 523 of the family's 1533-position model. The record is from RNAcentral.